UGGAGUGAGUUGACACCAAUAACUGAAGGAAAAUGUGGUGGUUUUGUAUAUGCAUUUUUAAAAAAUUUACAGCAGAAUAUAUAUAGAUUAAAUAAUUUAAUCUACAAUGCAUGCAUAGAUCAAAUCUAAAACAACCAUAUAAGAUCUAUGACAUGAACUAAUAUACAUGUAUGUAAAUCUGAAAUCUAAAAUUCAGUAAGUA
Molecule: long non-coding RNA, 202 nt
Filed under: Elaeis guineensis (African oil palm)
Lineage: Eukaryota; Viridiplantae; Streptophyta; Magnoliopsida; Arecales; Arecaceae
Description: long non-coding RNA (EGUI_LNC041157)
Source: RNAcentral